GAUGAACGCUGGCGGCGUGCCUAAUACAUGCAAGUCGAGCGAACAGACGAGGAGCUUGCUCCUCUGACGUUAGCGGCGGACGGGUGAGUAACACGUGGAUAACCUACCUAUAAGACUGGGAUAACUUCGGGAAACCGGAGCUAAUACCGGAUAACAUGUUGAACCGCAUGGUUCAACAGUGAAAGACGGUCUUGCUGUCACUUAUAGAUGGAUCCGCGCCGCAUUAGCUAGUUGGUAAGGUAACGGCUUACCAAGGCAACGAUGCGUAGCCGACCUGAGAGGGUGAUCGGCCACACUGGAACUGAGACACGGUCCAGACUCCUACGGGAGGCAGCAGUAGGGAAUCUUCCGCAAUGGGCGAAAGCCUGACGGAGCAACGCCGCGUGAGUGAUGAAGGUCUUCGGAUCGUAAAACUCUGCUAUUAGGGAAGAACAAAUGUGUAAGUAACUAUGCACGUCUUGACGGUACCUAAUCAGAAAGCCACGGCUAACUACGUG
This 497-nucleotide ribosomal RNA is filed under the name uncultured bacterium. RNAcentral's name for it is "partial 16S ribosomal RNA". It matches the Rfam family "Bacterial small subunit ribosomal RNA", at positions 28 to 507 of the family's 1533-position model. The record is from RNAcentral.